GAUUCUUGGUCAUUUUAGAGGAAGUAACAAGGAUUCCCCUAGUAACUGCGAGUGAAGCGGGAAAAGCUCAAAUUUAAAAUCUGGCAGUCUUUGGCUGUCCGAGUUGUAAUCUAGAGAAGUGCCAUCCGCGCUGGACCGUGUACAAGUCUCCUGAAUGGAGCGUCAUAGAGGGUGAGAAUCCCGUCUUUGACACGGACUGCCAGGGCUUUGUGAUGUGCUCUCAAAGAGUCGAGUUGUUUGGGAAUGCAGCUCAAAAUGGGUGGUGAACUCCAUCUAAAGCUAAAUAUUGGCGAGAGACCGAUAGCGAACAAGUACCGUGAGGGAAAGAUGAAAAGCACUUUGGAAAGAGAGUGAAACAGUACGUGAAAUUGUUGAAAGGGAAACGCUUGAAGUCAGUCGCGUCGACCGAGACUCAGCCUUGCCUCGGCUUGGUGUACUUCUCGGCUGACGGGUCAGCAUCAAUUUCGCCCCUUGGAUAAUGGCGAGGGAAAUGUGACACCUUUGCGGUGUGUUAUAGUCUCUCGUCGCAUGCAAGGGUUGGGAUUGAGGAACUCAGCACGCGCCUUUGGGUGUCGGGGCUUUGCCCACGAUACGUGCUUAGGAUGUUGGCGUAAUGGCUUUAAACGA
Molecule: small RNA, 627 nt
Filed under: uncultured fungus
Lineage: Eukaryota; Fungi
Description: eukaryotic LSU rRNA
Rfam family: Eukaryotic large subunit ribosomal RNA
Source: RNAcentral